Molecule: ribosomal RNA, 1617 nt
Filed under: Cronobacter sakazakii
Lineage: Bacteria; Pseudomonadati; Pseudomonadota; Gammaproteobacteria; Enterobacterales; Enterobacteriaceae
Description: partial 23S ribosomal RNA
Rfam family: Bacterial large subunit ribosomal RNA
Source: RNAcentral
CUGCGGCAGCGACACGUAUGUGUUGUUGGGUAGGGGAGCGUUCUGUAAGCCUGUGAAGGUGUGCUGUGAGGCAUGCUGGAGGUAUCAGAAGUGCGAAUGCUGACAUAAGUAACGAUAAAGCGGGUGAAAAGCCCGCUCGCCGGAAGACCAAGGGUUCCUGUCCAACGUUAAUCGGGGCAGGGUGAGUCGACCCCUAAGGCGAGGCCGAAAGGCGUAGUCGAUGGGAAACAGGUUAAUAUUCCUGUACUUGGUGUUACUGCGAAGGGGGGACGGAGAAGGCUAUGUCGGCCGGGCGACGGUUGUCCCGGUUUAAGCGUGUAGGCUGACUUUCCAGGCAAAUCCGGAAGGUUAAGGCUGAGGCGUGAUGACGAGGCACCACGGUGCUGAAGUGACAAAUGCCCUGCUUCCAGGAAAAGCCUCUAAGCAUCAGGUAACAUCAAAUCGUACCCCAAACCGACACAGGUGGUCAGGUAGAGAAUACCAAGGCGCUUGAGAGAACUCGGGUGAAGGAACUAGGCAAAAUGGUGCCGUAACUUCGGGAGAAGGCACGCUGACAUGUAGGUGAAGCCCCUGCGGGUGGAGCUGAAGUCAGUCGAAGAUACCAGCUGGCUGCAACUGUUUAUUAAAAACACAGCACUGUGCAAACACGAAAGUGGACGUAUACGGUGUGACGCCUGCCCGGUGCCGGAAGGUUAAUUGAUGGGGUUAUCGCAAGAGAAGCUCCUGAUCGAAGCCCCGGUAAACGGCGGCCGUAACUAUAACGGUCCUAAGGUAGCGAAAUUCCUUGUCGGGUAAGUUCCGACCUGCACGAAUGGCGUAAUGAUGGCCAGGCUGUCUCCACCCGAGACUCAGUGAAAUUGAACUCGCUGUGAAGAUGCAGUGUACCCGCGGCAAGACGGAAAGACCCCGUGAACCUUUACUACAGCUUGACACUGAACAUUGAGCCUUGAUGUGUAGGAUAGGUGGGAGGCUUUGAAGCGUGGACGCCAGUCUGCGUGGAGCCGACCUUGAAAUACCACCCUUUAAUGUUUGAUGUUCUAACCUGGCGCCGUGAUCCGGCGUGGGGACAGUGUCUGGUGGGUAGUUUGACUGGGGCGGUCUCCUCCCAAAGUGUAACGGAGGAGCACGAAGGUCAGCUAAUCCUGGUCGGACAUCAGGAGGUUAGUGCAAUGGCAUAAGCUGGCUUGACUGCGAGAGUGACGGCUCGAGCAGGUGCGAAAGCAGGUCAUAGUGAUCCGGUGGUUCUGUAUGGAAGGGCCAUCGCUCAACGGAUAAAAGGUACUCCGGGGAUAACAGGCUGAUACCGCCCAAGAGUUCAUAUCGACGGCGGUGUUUGGCACCUCGAUGUCGGCUCAUCACAUCCUGGGGCUGAAGUAGGUCCCAAGGGUAUGGCUGUUCGCCAUUUAAAGUGGUACGCGAGCUGGGUUUAGAACGUCGUGAGACAGUUCGGUCCCUAUCUGCCGUGGGCGCUGGAGAAUUGAGGGGGGCUGCUCCCAGUACGAGAGGACCGGAGUGGACGCAUCACUGGUGUUCGGGUUGUCAUGCCAAUGGCACUGCCCGGUAGCUAAAUGCGGAAGAGAUAAGUGCUGAAAGCAUCUAAGCACGAAACUUGCCCCG